Molecule: transfer RNA, 69 nt
Filed under: Harpegnathos saltator (Jerdon's jumping ant)
Lineage: Eukaryota; Metazoa; Arthropoda; Insecta; Hymenoptera; Formicidae
Rfam family: tRNA
About the family: Transfer RNA (tRNA) molecules are approximately 80 nucleotides in length. Their secondary structure includes four short double-helical elements and three loops (D, anti-codon, and T loops).
Source: Rfam by way of RNAcentral
CGUCAGGUAGCUUAGUGGGUUUAGAGCAAUCGCAAGCGAGAGACCCGAGUUCAAUUCCCGGUCUAGCGA